Molecule: ribosomal RNA, 464 nt
Filed under: uncultured bacterium
Lineage: Bacteria
Description: bacterial SSU rRNA
Rfam family: Bacterial small subunit ribosomal RNA
Source: RNAcentral
AUUGAACGCUGGCGGCAGGCCUAACACAUGCAAGUCGAGCGGCAGCGGAAAGUAGCUUGCUACUUUGCCGGCGAGCGGCGGACGGGUGAGUAAUGUCUGGGAAACUGCCUGAUGGAGGGGGAUAACUACUGGAAACGGUAGCUAAUACCGCAUGACCUCGAAAGAGCAAAGUGGGGGAUCUUCGGACCUCACGCCAUCGGAUGUGCCCAGAUGGGAUUAGCUAGUAGGUGAGGUAAUGGCUCACCUAGGCGACGAUCCCUAGCUGGUCUGAGAGGAUGACCAGCCACACUGGGACUGAGACACGGCCCAGACUCCUACGGGAGGCAGCAGUGGGAAUAUUGCACAAUGGGCGCAAGCCUGAUGCAGCCAUGCCGCGUGUGUGAAGAAGGCCUUAGGGUUGUAAAGCACUUUCAGCGAGGAGGAAGGCAUCAUACUUAAUACGUGUGGUGAUUGACGUUACUCGC